Cebus imitator (Panamanian white-faced capuchin) is the source of this 140-nucleotide small nuclear RNA. Its record names the gene U4. It matches the Rfam family "U4 spliceosomal RNA". From Rfam's summary of the family: U4 small nuclear RNA (U4 snRNA) is a component of the major U2-dependent spliceosome. The structure of U4 snRNA from yeast and human has been reported. The record is from Ensembl. NCBI's taxonomy places the organism in Eukaryota, Metazoa, Chordata, Mammalia, Primates, Cebidae.
AGCUUUGCACAAUGGCAGUAUCGUAGCCAGAGGUUUGUCCGAGGUGCGAUUAUUGCUAAUUGAAAACUUUCCCCAAUACCCUGCCAUGAUGACUUGAAAUAUAGUCGGUGUUGACAAUUUUCUGGCAGUCUCUACGGAAA